GACGAACGCUGGCGGCGUGCUUAACACAUGCAAGUCGAACGGUAAGGCCCUUCGGGGUACACGAGUGGCGAACGGGUGAGUAACACGUGGGUGAUCUGCCCUGCACUUCGGGAUAAGCCUGGGAAACUGGGUCUAAUACCGGAUAGGACCACUGCCUGCAUGGGUGGUGGUGGAAAGCUUUUGCGGUGUGGGAUGGGCCCGCGGCCUAUCAGCUUGUUGGUGGGGUGAUGGCCUACCAAGGCGACGACGGGUAGCCGGCCUGAGAGGGUGACCGGCCACACUGGGACUGGGAUACGGCCCAGACUCCUACGGGAGGCAGGAGUGGGGAAUAUUGCACAAUGGGCGCAAGCCUGAUGCAGCGACGCCGCGUGAGGGAUGACGGCCUUCGGGUUGUAAACCUCUUUCAGCACCGACGAAGCGCAAGUGACGGUAGGUGCAGAAGAAGGACCGGCCAACUACGUGCCAGCCGCCGCUGUAA
RNAcentral lists this ribosomal RNA (478 nucleotides) under uncultured bacterium. RNAcentral's name for it is "partial 16S ribosomal RNA". It matches the Rfam family "Bacterial small subunit ribosomal RNA", at positions 28 to 523 of the family's 1533-position model. The record is from RNAcentral.